Molecule: long non-coding RNA, 842 nt
Filed under: Glycine max (soybean)
Lineage: Eukaryota; Viridiplantae; Streptophyta; Magnoliopsida; Fabales; Fabaceae
Description: long non-coding RNA (GMAX_LNC001592)
Source: RNAcentral
CAAAAUACGCGCAUUGAGUUGGUUAUUAUUUUGUUAAACCGACAAGCUAAAGGGAAUUCUUGAAAGAACUUCCGAUAGAAUCCAAAACGAAAAUAACAGAACUUUAUAAAACAAAAGGCAAAUGGAAGUCUUACAAAUUAACAUUGGUGGCUACAUAUUCCAUGGCCAUGGAUUUCCACUCCCAUUAUGUCACAAUUUAUUAUUCAAAUAAAAAGAAAGACCAAAAAAAGAAAAAGAAAAAAAAAAGGAUCCUUAAAGGUAACUACAAACACAAAAUGAAGCAAAAACACAGGGUUUUAUGGAAUCCACAUACACCAUUUGAUCAUAUAUGGUAAUAACUAACUACUCAGGUAGAUUUUCCCGGUGGCAGUGACUUCUUAGCGGCGGUCGCCGGAGAAGGGAUUUGCCUGCCUUGGUGUUGUUGGUUGGUGGUGGAAAUAGUGGUGCUUUUGGUGGUUCCAACUUGAUCAGCAACUUGUUGGGUCAGGUCAAGUGACUUUGCGAGGUCUUCGCCGGCGAGAAUCUCCGGCGGCAGGACCUGGGAAGCUUGCCGGCGAUGGCGGGACAUGUUUUUGUGUGCGUGACUCUGUUUCUUUGUUUGGGUAGAGAGAGAAAUUAACACACAACACAAGUGAAGUGAAGGUGGGAAGUGAUGAAGAAACAAAGAAUUUGAAGUGAUGUAUGGAAGUGGGGGUUUGUAUGGAACUAUAUAUGGACAGAACAAUUCUACCUACGCGCUUUGCAUUACGUGACCAUUCAAUUUGAAGCCAAACCUUUUUCUUUCAAGGGUAAAUAAAAUGUAUUUGUCUUUUUAAAAUUAAGAACCUCAUUAAAACGUACUA